UGGGGAAUAUUGCACAAUGGGCGCAAGCCUGAUGCAGCCAUGCCGCGUGUAUGAAGAAGGCCUUCGGGUUGUAAAGUACUUUCAGCGGGAGGAAGGCAGUUGUGGUUAGUUAAACCACAGCAGAUUGACGUUACCCGCAGAAGAAGACAACCGGCUAACCGCUAGUCGCCAGCAGCCGCGGUAAUACGGAGGGUGCAAGCGUUAAUCGGAAUUACUGGGCGUAAAGCGCACGCAGGCGGUCUGUCAAGUCGGAUGUGAAAUCCCCGGGCUCAACCUGGGAACUGCAUUCGAAACUGGCAGGCUAGAGUCUUGUAGAGGGGGUAGAAUUCCAGGUGUAGCGGUGAAAUUGCGUAGAGAUCUGGAGGAAUACCGGUGGCGAAGGCGGCCCCCUGGACAAAGACUGACGCUCAGGUGCGAAAGCGGCGGGAGCAAAACA
Molecule: ribosomal RNA, 436 nt
Filed under: uncultured Enterobacteriaceae bacterium
Lineage: Bacteria; Pseudomonadati; Pseudomonadota; Gammaproteobacteria; Enterobacterales; Enterobacteriaceae
Description: bacterial SSU rRNA
Rfam family: Bacterial small subunit ribosomal RNA
Source: RNAcentral